Molecule: ribosomal RNA, 1365 nt
Filed under: Elophila turbata
Lineage: Eukaryota; Metazoa; Arthropoda; Insecta; Lepidoptera; Crambidae
Description: 16S ribosomal RNA
Source: RNAcentral
GUUAAAAUUAAUAAAAAUAAAUUAUAAAUAAUAAAAUUAAUUUUUAUAUUAAAAUUGGGGGGUUUUAGUAUAAUUAAGAAAAAAUUAUAAUUUUUAUAGAAAAUUAGUAUUGUGAAAGAAUUUUGAAAUAAAAUUGAAAAUAAAAUAAUAAAAAAGUAAAUUUAAUUUAUUGUAUCUUGUGUAUCAGAGUUUAUUAAAUAAUAAAUUUAGAUAAAUUUUUCUUGAAUUAAAAAGAGAUAAUUAAUUAUAAAAGUUAUUGUAGCAAAAAUAUUUUAAAUAAUUAAUUUGAAAUGAAAUGUUAAACGUUUUUUAAUAUAUUUAGUUUUUUUAGAAAAAAAUUUAAUUUUAAAUAUAUUUUAUAAAAUAAUUUAUUAUUUAUAUAGUAAUUUAUUUUAAAAUAUAAUUUUAUAUUUUAAGGGAUAAGCUUUAAAUUAAAUUAUUAUAAAUAAUUUAUUUAAUAAAUAAAUAAAAUUUUAGAAUUUAAAUUGUUAAUAAAUUUUAUUUUGUUAUAAAUAAUUUUAAUUUAUUAAAAAAAAAAUUUAAUUAAGUUUUAAUUAUAUAUAAAAAAAUAAUUUUAAAUAAAAAAUAUUUAGUUAUAAUGAUAAAAUUAGUAUAUAAAUAAAUUUUAUUUAAAUUUUCAAUAAAAUAAAAAAAAAAUUAAUUUAAAGGAAUUCGGCAAAUAUUUAUAUUCACUUGUUUAUCAAAAACAUGUCUUUUUGAAUUAUAAUUUAAAGUCUAAUCUGCCCACUGAUUUAUAUUAAAGGGCUGCAGUAUAUUGACUGUACAAAGGUAGCAUAAUCAAUAGUCUUUUAAUUGAUGACUAGAAUGAAAGAUUGGAUGAAAUAUAUACUGUCUCUAAAUUAAUAUAUAGAAUUUAAUUUUUUAAUUAAAAAGUUAAAAUGAUAUUAAAAGACGAGAAGACCCUAUAGAGUUUUAUAAUUUAAAUUUAUUAAAAUUAUAUAUAAAAAUUAUUUAAUAAAAAUAGAUUUAAUUAUUUUGUUGGGGUGAUAGAAAAAUUAAUAAAACUUUUUUUUAAUAAAAAUCAUAAAUAAAUGAAUAAAUGAUCCAAAAUUUUUGAUUAAAAGAAAAAAUUACCUUAGGGAUAACAGCGUAAUUUUUUCUUUUAGUUCAAAUAAAAGAGAAAGUUUGCGACCUCGAUGUUGGAUUAAGAUAAAAUUUAAAUGCAAAAGUUUAAAAUUUUGAUCUGUUCGAUCAUUAAAAUCUUACAUGAUCUGAGUUCAAACCGGUUUAAGCCAGGUUGGUUUCUAUCUUUAAUAAAAUAAAAUAAUAUAGUACGAAAGGAAUUAUUAUUUAAAUUAAAUUUUUAUUAUGAAUUACAUUAAUAAGAAAAAAAAAUAAAUUAUU